GACGAACGCUGGCGGCGUGCUUAACACAUGCAAGUCGAACGGAAAGGCCCUGCUUUUGUGGGGUGCUCGAGUGGCGAACGGGUGCGUAACACGUGAGUAACCUGCCCUUGACUUUGGGAUAACUUCAGGAAACUGGGGCUAAUAUCGGAUAGGAGCUCCUGCUGCGUGGUGGGGGUUGGAAAGUUUCGGCGGUUGGGGCUGGACGCGCGGCUGACCAGCUUGUUGGUGGGGUGGGGGCUUACCAAGGCUUUGGCGGGUAGCCGGCCUGGGAGGGUGACCGGCCACAUUGGGCCUGAGAGACGGCCCAGACUCCUACGGGAGGCAGCAGUGGGGAAUAUUGCACAAUGGGCGGAAGCCUGAUGCAGCAACGCCGCGUGCGGGAUGACGUCCUUCGGGUUGUAAACCGCUUUCGCCUGUGACGAAGCGUGAGUGACGGUACUGGGUAAAGAAGCACCGGCUAACUACGUG
RNAcentral lists this ribosomal RNA (468 nucleotides) under uncultured bacterium. Its description in RNAcentral is "partial 16S ribosomal RNA". It matches the Rfam family "Bacterial small subunit ribosomal RNA", at positions 28 to 507 of the family's 1533-position model. The record is from RNAcentral.